Molecule: ribosomal RNA, 301 nt
Filed under: uncultured bacterium
Lineage: Bacteria
Description: partial 16S ribosomal RNA
Rfam family: Bacterial small subunit ribosomal RNA
Source: RNAcentral
CAGUAGCCGCGGGAAUACGUAGGGUGCAAGCGUUAAUCGGAAUUACUGGGCGUAAAGCGUGCGCAGGCGGUUUGUUAAGACAGAUGUGAAAUCCCCGGGCUCAACCUGGGAACUGCAUUUGUGACUGGCAAGCUAGAGUAUGGCAGAGGGGGGUGGAAUUCCGCGUGUAGCAGUGAAAUGCGUAGAUAUGCGGAGGAACACCGAUGGCGAAGGCAGCCCCUGGGCCAAUACUGACGCUCAUGCACGAAAGCGUGGGGAGCAAACAGGAUUAGAUACCCCAGUAGUCCCUGUCUCUUAUACA